GAAACUCCAGGGCUCAACCAACCCUCCUGCCUCAGUCUCCAGAGUAACUGGGAUUACAGAGAGAAGACAAGAAACUUCUAGAAGGACUAUGAAACCUUGAAGAGGAAACUGAAGGAUUUAUAGCCUUGUAGGACUGUGAGAUGGUAGAGUGCUUUUAUUGUUUUUCCCUCUGAAGGUUGAGGUUUUGGAGGAAAAGUAGUAUGUGGGAAGUGAGCAGCUGGAGACACGGGUAGGUAGAGAGCCUCCAUCUCUCCAGCUAUUCACUCGUAUCUAUAUCUAUAUCUAUAUCUGUAUGUAUAUCUAUAUCUAUAUAUAUAUCUAUCUACCUAUCCACCUAUGUAGAGAGAUGGAGAGCUAGACCUCUCCCUCUACAUACACAUAUAUAUAUACACACACACACACAUACAUACAUACACACAAACAGAUAUAUAAUCAAAGAAUGUGACUGGAUUUCUAAACCAUGGGUAUGGUGAGUCAGGAAUGUAUUUAUGUCACACAAGUGGUGAGAUAUGGACUACAUGUUAUUUGACUUCUUCAAGAGAAAUUUAUAUUGAAUAGGAUGAGCUGGAGAAAAAAAAUGCCCAGAUAAAAUUUGACAAUUUUUACUCUAGGGCAUCAGUUUUUCCUGCACCCCAUAGAAGAUGUUGUAAAAUUAUUCACAUGCCUUUCACAUUCCUGAAUUAACAUCUAAAAAUUCUAAUAUAAGUAUAAAUGGUUACAAAGGAUGUAAAUUUCUUGUGUAUUUUAAAUAAUGACAUUUAAAAAUAGAAUCAUGUCUACACAUUUAAUGUGAGUGAAAUCUACCUAAAUACCAUAAUAAUUUGAGUUCUUCAUUUGCAGUCAGGAUUUUAUAUCAUUCCUUUUUCUCUCUAAACUUACAUUUUCAUUUCCCCAUCCCCAAAGAAUUUGAUUUUAAUAUAAUAUAUUGUUAUGUUUAAAGUAUUUUGUUGAUCAACCUAUCAUAUUAUCUUCAAUAAAAUAUGUAUAUAAACUUAAUUUUUAAUUUUUAAAAAUUUUAUGGGAACAUUAUGGCAGUGCUUCUUCUGGAUUGAAUUAUAGCUAAAAUUAUUAAUCAAAUCAUAAAUAUAUCUAAAAUUAGUAUAAUUAGCAAACACAAAAGUAAAAUUUUACAGGGAAUUUGUCUCUUAUUGAAAUGAUGGUGCUCUUUUUGUUUAAUUAGUUAAUGUAGCCAUGGAUGAUUAUUAUUUUUAUCUACAAUGAGGGGCCAGUGGAAAUUAAUAGCCAAAAGAAUGGUUAGGCCAUUAUUAGGAGCUGAACAUACAAACAGUGUUGUUAAAUGCAUAACUUACAAUACCCAACUCUAACAUAAUAUCCUUUGGAAAAGCUCAUUUGCUCCUAUGUGUGCCUCAAGUUGAAGGCUGCUGUUAUGAAAUAUGUCAGAGUAACAUAAAGUGAUGGUGAAGAUCCAAUAGGCAAAAUGAGAAAGUCACUAGGUAGGGGGUCAGUAACAUCAUAGUCUCCAAAAUCUAUACACCAAUGUGCAAACAAUGGAUAAUAACAUAUAUCCAAUAGCAUAGGGUGAUAAAUAGAGCCUCAUACUGAAUACCAGGCUUAGUAAAUGAUGUGAGAUGAUGGAAAACUAUGAUGUAGUCUAAACAAACAGAGAUAUUUGAGGGAAGGCGCAGUAGGACUAUAUGUUAUACAUAUCCUACACACCUGGUCUGUGGGCGAGUGUUAAAAAUACAGAAGCCUGGGCUGUAUGACCUAAUUAAUCAGGUUCUCAGAGGAUAAGUCUAAGAAUAUGUUUUACAAUAAUUCCAGGCUUCAGGUCUGUCAUAUUUGAGAACAACUUAGUACAUGGAAAAGAGAACUCAAUAAUUUCAAAGGAAAAAUUAGCCAUGAAGCCUUUAAAAGUGAAGAUAAAUCAAGAUGGUUGAAAAGGUUUUAAAACAGUCUCAUGAUGCAAAUAUAAAAUAUUCCAAUGAACCAGAAAAGGCGGAGUUCUCAAAAGCAGUGCUGUUACAUAGAAAUAUAAUGUGAGCCACAUAUGUAACUCUAAAUUUACUUGUAGUCACAUUUCAAAAAGUUAGAGGAAACAAAUGAAAUUUAUUCUAAUGGCAUAAUUAUUAAACCAAUAUUUUCAAAAUAUUGUUAUUUCAACAUGUAAUAAAUAUAAAAAUUAUUUUAAAAUAUUUUGCCUUCUUUUUUAAAAUGAACUCUUGAACAUCUGGUAUAUAUUUUGCACUUUGCAGUACUUUUCAAUUCAGAAUAGCCACAUUUUAAGUAUUCAAGAACCGCCUGCAACUGGACAGCACAGAUUUAAAGAAAAUAGAUGACAAUAGAAGGGACUCUCUGAAGUUCAGAUGUAAAAACAAGAAACGUGUAUAAAAUGUAGUAAAAAGAAUACUGUACUUUAAGAUACUUUUGGCAGCAAGUAAAAGCUUCAAACCCCAAACCUCAAAAAAGCUUAAAGGGGAAAGCCAGUAGCAUUCAUCGCAGGAAGUCCUGAAGUAGGGCAGACUCAAUCAUGUCAUCAAAGACCAGGUUCUUUUCAUGUUUUUAUUCUGCCAUCUGGGUGUUGCCUUUAUCCCAAGGCCGGUAACACAAUGGCAGCAGUAGUCCCAGACGUCACAUCUUGAUAUAACAGCAUUCAGAAGUAGAAGAAAGAGAGCAUCUCUUUUUGUGUGUCUCUCCCAGUAGUGAUAAAACUUUGCAAAGACUGCUUCCAAUAGGAUUUCUUUCAUAUCUCAUUAACUGGAGUUGAGUUAAAUGCCAUUUCUUAGCCAAUCACCAUCAAGAAGUGGACAUGGCGAGUUAUAAUUUUGGUUAGGUAAGAUGAAGUAGCCGUUCUCCGACCUGUCUUUCCCAUUGAAUGCAGUAGUAAAACCAGGACAAAACACAUAGGACAAAAUGCAAAUAUCUACUUGAGGACUCUUAAAAGUGAAUAGUACCAGGCAGAUUGGGAAAGGAAAUGGGAUUCAAAUCACCUCUGACCAGCAGUGAGUUAUCAUUUUUUGCCCUCCAGUUUUUCACUGCCUGAUCUCAAGGCAACCCAAAAGCCAGAUGUGAACACUGAUGUGGGUGGAGAGAUCUCAAGAAGCAGCCCACUACUUCCCGCUCAAGAAGCAGGAGAGUCUACUGGCAGCAACAGUCAUGGCAGCAGGAGCCUACAGCACCCAAAACAGAAGACUUGUACAAAAUAUAGAAAAAAGAAUACUGUACCCUAAGAUAUUUCUGGCAUAAAUUUCUUCUCUGAGCAGAGGAGCUGUGGCCCCAAGAGGGUAGCAAGAAUCCCCACUAAUUUUUUCUCUCUCUAGCCUCUUGAGGCUUGACUGUGGAGUUGGAAAUGUGGCAGAGCAGGGUAAAUAAAGCCCCAGCUUUCCAACCACAAAAAGGGAAUGCAGGGAACUAUCAAUUUCUGGGGAGACAGUGGAGAAGAAGGAGCUCAAAAAGCAACUUUGAUAACCAAAUUCAAAGAAAUUCUUCAUGACCCAAGAUUAUGCAAAGUUGUCUUAGGUAUGACACCAUACAGAUAAUCUAUUUAAAAAUUGAUGAACAUUAUCUUUUUUAAAAAAUUGUUCUAUGAAAGACAUUGAAAUAUAAUGAUGAAAUAAUGUAUAGAUUGGUGAAAGUCUAUUUAAAAUAUAUAUCUGACAAAGAAUUUGUAUCCAGAACAUAUAAAGAACUGUUAUAACUCAAUAAUAAAAUAACUCAAUUAAAAAUGGGCAAAAGACUUGAACUUCAUCACAAUGGACAUAUGUAAAUCAACUAAGUGCAUCAAAUAUGUUCAACAUCGUUAGCCACUGGGGUAAUGGAAAUUAAAACCAUGACAAGAGACCAGUACAUACCUAUGAUAAUGACUACGUUAAAAUAAAAAAAAAACCAAUGUAAAGACUGAUGAUGAUACCAUAAGCAGGUGAACAUGCAGAGCAGCAGGUACUCUUGUAAAUUGCUGAUGGCAACAAAAACUGACUCAGCCACUCUGGAAGACUGUUUGGCAGCUUCUUAUGAAGUUAAAUAUACACUUACUAUAUGGCCAUUAAUCCUACUCCUGAGUGUUUGCCCUAGGAAAAUGUUCAUACAAAAACUCACACACAAACGUUUACUACAGCUCUAUUCCUGAUUCCCCAAAUUAGAUACAACUGAAAUGUCUUUCAAUAUGUAAAUGAAUAAAUAACAAAUGGAUAAACAAA
This is a non-coding RNA of Macaca mulatta (Rhesus monkey), 4154 nucleotides long. The record is from RefSeq and is a predicted model, not a curated record. Lineage: Eukaryota; Metazoa; Chordata; Mammalia; Primates; Cercopithecidae.